ACUCUUGGCCAACCAAUUAUCGGUCGGUAAAAAUCCCCGACCAGCCACUCGUUGGUAGCUGGGCUGACGCGGGGAUGAAAUUUGAACUCCCCUCUCGGCCCAGACGCACGGAACAACAAUAGAAGCUGCUCAAUUUUAUCCACAGUCCAACCCUAAAUCCCCAAAAUCGAGCCUCUCCACCGCGCCCCGCCGCCGCCCAGUUCCCUGCGGCCUCCACGCCGGCUAUCCCUCACGCCCAUCAUCCAGCCCGUCCACCGCAGGCCGCGCCCACACCGUCCUGCCGCCGCACACCAUCCCUCCCAGUCGCUGGAACCAUGCUGCCUAGGUUCUCGCUCCGACCGGCGGCGGAGCUUUGCCUACCGCCCCUUUCGCGCCGGACCGCCGCGUUGCCGUCCAUACCUCCCCCAUGCACCUGACGGCCACGCUACCUCCCCCAUGCGCCUGAAGGCCACCCCCACGCAGGUACUCUCCUUGGCCGGCAACGGCGUGGUGAUUCCAGCGGCACCACUCUUCCUCCCUCCUCUACGCACCGAGGUGGAGGCAACAACGUGGGCAUCUUCUUUGUGAGCCCAUCUACUACCUCCAUGUGUUUUUGGUUAUGUUAUUAUUGUAGCAAGAGUUACUAUGGAAUCACUAGUAAUUAAGUGAUGAUUUUUGAAGGAGUUACUUACUUGAGUAUAUAUUUGAACUUAUUAAUUCAGAGAGAGUGGUUCUAGCAAUGUUUGAUUCAUGAGUGAUGCUUGACGUUUCAGAUUUACUAUGGUACAACACAGUAUUUAAUUUAGUAGUAGAUGCACUUAAUUAAGUUUCAGUUCCAGUUCCAGUAUUUUUGUUAAUGUGCUUUCUUCUCCACCAAAGUCUAUUGUAUACUUUUGUGUAUUUCCAGUUCCAGUUUCAGUUCCGGUUCCAGUCAUCCCGCCUGCAUACCGAGGUAUACUUGCCAUAGUGGUAGAUCAAUAUAACAUGCAAGCAUAUCAGUUUUCUUGCUGAAAUAAUUGAUGGAUGGAAUGCUGGCCUAAAAAUUGAUUUGGAAUGCAUAUUUCUGCAUGCUAUUCUGAAUGUCAUCAUUACUUCCAUGAUGUACCGAAUUUUUUGAUGUACUGAAUGCCUGCAUCCCUUAGAUGCAUUUGUUUGGCUAAGUCAUAUGCAUAAGAUUUAUUUUUUACCGGAAGUCAUAUGCAUAAGAUUAGUUUGGCUAAGUCAUAUGGAUAAGAUUAGUUGCUGCUCAGUUUUCAUUUGGCAUAUCCAUGGUGAAGACCCUGCUGAAAGGAGAACCAAGCACCCAUUUUCUACUAAUUAAUAUACUUGUCAGUAGCAGAGUUAGUCUCUGUAUGUAUUUGUACUGUUGGAUUUCUGCAGCUCCAAUGUUCUAUUUGUGUGUAUUUGUACUUGUAUUUUUGCUGGAGCAAUCAAUUUCCUGAAACAGUAGAAAGCAGUACAAGUUCAGUACUGUUUCUUAUGCCAGUUUGAAAGGAGUAAAAUAUUUAAAGUUCCUGGAUAAUUGAAUCUGUUAUAUUGAUAGUCUAAUAUAUGUUUGUUGUUUGUUGUGUAACCACUUUCAUGCACUUUGAUAGACUAAUGUAUCCAACUUUCAUGCAAUUUGCUUUGUGACCACUUAUCUCAAUUCCUUUAGUUCUGCUGGGUCUACUUGUUCUCUACAACUAGAAAAUGUGGUUAGUAGAAAAUGCACAGCUACUGUUCUGUACAAGUACAUUAAUUAGUAGGAAAAAAAUGAGAAUUCCAUCUUUUGAAAGUAAAAUAAUUAAGUAGAUCUGCUACUAUUAUGUUUUUUUGUUUGAUUUGUUAGUUAGUGUUGAUUAAUAUGCUUAUGUGCUAAUCAAUUAAUUUCCUCCAAACUUCUAACUUAAUAUCAGUUUUGUAGAUCCAACAGACUAGGAUUUAUGGAGACAUGUUUGCCUUUUGUAGGAAGGAAAAUACACAAGAGAACAUGGUAGCCGGUGGGUCACAUCAAGAUUGCACAAUGAAGGAAAUGCAUCGAUGUUGGAGAUGAACCUUUUAGCUAUCAUUUUGUAAAACUGGAUCAGUAUGAACUUAUUGUCUUUAGUUCUUAAUCUAUUUUGGUAGUAAUGAACUUAGACGAUGUUUCAUGCACAAUUUGUAAAUGUGAUGAAUUAAUGUAUCAUACUAUCGGUUGAUUUAAUAAUAUGCGUGUUGUUAA
Long non-coding RNA from Brachypodium distachyon (stiff brome), 2179 nucleotides. RefSeq lists it as uncharacterized. The record is from RefSeq and is a predicted model, not a curated record. NCBI's taxonomy places the organism in Eukaryota, Viridiplantae, Streptophyta, Magnoliopsida, Poales, Poaceae. The transcript has 2 exons.